RNAcentral lists this ribosomal RNA (723 nucleotides) under uncultured bacterium. RNAcentral's name for it is "bacterial SSU rRNA". It matches the Rfam family "Bacterial small subunit ribosomal RNA", at positions 46 to 764 of the family's 1533-position model. The record is from RNAcentral.
GCCUAACACAUGCAAGUCGAGCGGUAGAGAGAAGCUUGCUUCUCUUGAGAGCGGCGGACGGGUGAGUAAUACCUAGGAAUCUGCCUGAUAGUGGGGGAUAACGUUCGGAAACGGACGCUAAUACCGCAUACGUCCUACGGGAGAAAGCAGGGGACCUUCGGGCCUUGCGCUAUCAGAUGAGCCUAGGUCGGAUUAGCUAGUUGGUGAGGUAAUGGCUCACCAAGGCUACGAUCCGUAACUGGUCUGAGAGGAUGAUCAGUCACACUGGAACUGAGACACGGUCCAGACUCCUACGGGAGGCAGCAGUGGGGAAUAUUGGACAAUGGGCGAAAGCCUGAUCCAGCCAUGCCGCGUGUGUGAAGAAGGUCUUCGGAUUGUAAAGCACUUUAAGUUGGGAGGAAGGGCAGUUACCUAAUACGUGAUUGUCUCGACGUUACCGACAGAAUAAGCACCGGCUAACUCUGUGCCAGCAGCCGCGGUAAUACAGAGGGUGCAAGCGUUAAUCGGAAUUACUGGGCGUAAAGCGCGCGUAGGUGGUUUGUUAAGUUGAAUGUGAAAUCCCCGGGCUCAACCUGGGAACUGCAUCCAAAACUGGCAAGCUAGAGUAUGGUAGAGGGUAGUGGAAUUUCCUGUGUAGCGGUGAAAUGCGUAGAUAUAGGAAGGAACACCAGUGGCGAAGGCGACUACCUGGACUGAUACUGACACUGAGGUGCGAAAGCGUGG